AUGGUAGAAGAAAUACAGCCAAGGAAUGACUUGAUGGAGACUCUGCCCCAGGGAAAUGGUACCAACCACUGCAGGUCUCUGCAGCCUCUGCCUUGGAAGAGUGCCUGUAACAGGCCCUGGUGGGGGGCUAGGAUGGCAUCCAGCCCCCAUCUCAACAGUGGGCUAAYAUGGAGAGAGGAACUGCUGGGGCCCCCAGCUGCACCACACCUUCCACAGCUGCUGCCCAUGAGGACAAGGCCGGAAAAYGCAGCGAGCAUCCGCUGCCGAGGGUCGGCCAUGAGACGCAAACGCAGAGGCAGCCCUGCCCGGCAGGUUGAGGCGUGCGAUGUCUGGCUGGACACGGCGAAGCUAAAGCAGCGCAGAGGACAGUCUCUCCUACCCAAGCCAAAAGUAUCUCAUCGCCUUCUGGAGAGGCACUGUGAGGGGUACACCUCAGUGCCUUCCACGCAGACAAGAGCAGCUCCAGCGUGCACCAAGCAAACCACCAUCUCCGCCUUCUUCAGUACCCAGACAGAUGAAAAAGACAAAGAAAACUCCAGGUUAUCUCCGCUUAUCCUAAAUAAAGAACAUAAAGAAAAAGGUAUUCCUUUGGCUGCCUCCCCUGUGAAGAUCUUGACGUUUCCGCAGAUAGAGGAAGCGCAGAAACCACCCUUCAGAGCUGAAGAUAAGAAGGUACAGAUUAUACCCCAGCAUCUUGUACAAAAAGCACCAGUCUCGCAGACCUCUUUGCCAGACUCUUUGCCAGACUCUUUGCUAGAAGCAGAGUCCCGCAGUAAGGGUGAGGCCUCCUGUGGGGGAGAAGAGGAUUUCUCCUUAGACUUUACCCAGGAUUCAGAGGGCAACCAGAUCCUAUCUUUGCCAGACUCUUUGCUAGAAGCAGAGUCCCGCAGUAAGGGUGAGGCCUCCUGUGGGGGAGAAGAGGAUUUCUCCUUAGACUUUACCCAGGAUUCAGAGGGCAACCAGAUCCUAGCUCACAGAAAUGUAGCUGACUUAUUUGCUGGAGAAACAGUCUCUGGAAGCAACAUAACUUCAAGAAAGAGAACAGACUCCUGGAUAAACAAAGAGGAGGGCCAGCUGGACCCAGAGGAGGAGAAGGAUGGACUUGAUAUCCAACCAAGRCAUGGUGCAAACCAGAGUAAGAAACCACACCGACUAUCUAGUAGCAAUAAUUCUUUAAUUGAUUUCUCCGAGCCUGAGAAUAUAAAUCCUGCUAUAAAGAGAGACAAUAUCGGGGCUGCUGGCUUUUGUUCAUCUCCUAAAAGAAYACCUAAAGCACAGCCUUUGAGAGAGCGCAGCCAAAACGCUGGUGGUGGUUCAGCUAAGGAAGAAUGGGACAGUAAGAACAGACUGAGCAGUCCCUUGAGGCAAUUGUUUACCCAGGAUUCAGAGGGGAACAGAGUAAUUUCUCACUACUGCCAGAAAGUGAGAUCUCCUCUAAAGGCGAAAAACAGCACUAGCAGUUGGCUGACUAACUCCCCAUACAAGGAUUGUUCCAGGGAUGCUACAAAUAGGAAUGUAAGCAAACUAGGGGAGCAUCAGUUAGAUGCAUGCUACGAUUUACUAUUCACCCAGGAUUCAGAAGGRAAUAGAGUUAUUAAACACUGA
RNAcentral lists this long non-coding RNA (1605 nucleotides) under Dromaius novaehollandiae (emu). Its description in RNAcentral is "lncRNA (ENSDNVG00000008283.1)". The record is from RNAcentral. Lineage: Eukaryota; Metazoa; Chordata; Aves; Casuariiformes; Dromaiidae.